AUUGAACGCUGGCGGCAGGCUUAACACAUGCAAGUCGAGCGGGGUGAUGGUGCUUGCACUAUCACUUAGCGGCGGACGGGUGAGUAAUGCUUAGGAAUCUGCCUAUUAGUGGGGGCCAACAUCUCGAAAGGGAUGCUAAUACCGCAUACGUCCUACGGGAGAAAGCAGGGGAUCACUUGUGACCUUGCGCUAAUAGAGGAGCCUAAGUCGGAUUAGCGAGUUGGUGGGGUAAAGGCCUACCAAGGCGACGAUCUGUGGCGGGUCUGAGAGGAUGGUCCGCCACACUGGGACUGAGACCCGGCCCAGACUCCUACGGGAGGCAGCAGUGGGGAAUAUUGGACGAUGGGGGGAACCCUGAUCCAGCCAUGCCGCGUGUGUGAAGAAGGCCUUAUGGUUGUAAAGCACUUUAAGCGAGGAGGAGGCUCUUUUGGUUAAUACCCAAGAUGAGUGGACGUUACUCGCAGAAUAAGCACCGGCUAACUCUGUGCCAGCCGCCGCCGUAA
This 503-nucleotide ribosomal RNA is filed under the name uncultured bacterium. RNAcentral's name for it is "partial 16S ribosomal RNA". It matches the Rfam family "Bacterial small subunit ribosomal RNA", at positions 30 to 523 of the family's 1533-position model. The record is from RNAcentral.